AGCGGCGGACGGGUGAGUAAUGCCUAGGAAUCUGCCUGGUAGUGGGGGAUAACGUUCGGAAACGGACGCUAAUACCGCAUACGUCCUACGGGAGAAAGCAGGGGACCUUCGGGCCUUGCGCUAUCAGAUGAGCCUAGGUCGGAUUAGCUAGUUGGUGAGGUAAUGGCUCACCAAGGCGACGAUCCGUAACUGGUCUGAGAGGAUGAUCAGUCACACUGGAACUGAGACACGGUCCAGACUCCUACGGGAGGCAGCAGUGGGGAAUAUUGGACAAUGGGCGAAAGCCUGAUCCAGCCAUGCCGCGUGUGUGAAGAAGGUCUUCGGAUUGUAAAGCACUUUAAGUUGGGAGGAAGGGCAGUUACCUAAUACGUGAUUGUUUUGACGUUACCGACAGAAUAAGCACCGGCUAACUCUGUGCCAGCAGCCGCGGUAAUACAGAGGGUGCAAGCGUUAAUCGGAAUUACUGGGCGUAAAGCGCGCGUAGGUGGUUUGUUAAGUUGGAUGUGAAAUCCCCGGGCUCAACCUGGGAACUGCAUUCAAAACUGACUGACUAGAGUAUGGUAGAGGGUGGUGGAAUUUCCUGUGUAGCGGUGAAAUGCGUAGAUAUAGGAAGGAACACCAGUGGCGAAGGCGACCACCUGGACUAAUACUGACACUGAGGUGCGAAAGCGUGGGGAGCAAACAGGAUUAGAUACCCUGGUAGUCCACGCCGUAAACGAUGUCAACUAGCCGUUGGAAGCCUUGAGCUUUUUAGUGGCGCAGCUAACGCAUUAAGUUGACCGCCUGGGGAGUACGGCCGCAAGGUUAAAACUCAAAUGAAUUGACGGGGGCCCCGCACAAGCGGUGGAGCAUGUGGUUUAAUUCGAAAGCAACGCGAANAACCCUUACCAGGCCNUUGACAUCCAAUGAACUUUUUAGAAAUAGAUUGGNUGCCCUUCGGGNAACNAUUGAAACNNGGUGCUUGCAUGGNCUGUCNUCANCUUC
Molecule: ribosomal RNA, 984 nt
Filed under: Pseudomonas sp. SBC-5
Lineage: Bacteria; Pseudomonadati; Pseudomonadota; Gammaproteobacteria; Pseudomonadales; Pseudomonadaceae
Description: bacterial SSU rRNA
Rfam family: Bacterial small subunit ribosomal RNA
Source: RNAcentral